This 497-nucleotide ribosomal RNA is filed under the name uncultured bacterium. RNAcentral describes it as "partial 16S ribosomal RNA". It matches the Rfam family "Bacterial small subunit ribosomal RNA", at positions 28 to 507 of the family's 1533-position model. The record is from RNAcentral.
GACGAACGCUGGCGGCGUGCCUAAUACAUGCAAGUUGAGCGAUGAAGCUUGGUGCUUGCACCAAUUUGAAGAGCAGCGAACGGGUGAGUAACGCGUGGGGAAUCUGCCUUUGAGCGGGGGACCACAUUUGGAAACGAAUGCUAAUACCGCAUAACCACUUUAAACAUAAGUUUUAAGUUUGAAAGAUGCAAUUGCAUCACUCAAAGAUGAUCCCGCGUUGUAUUAGCUAGUUGGUGAGGUAAAGGCUCACCAAGGCGAUGAUACAUAGCCGACCUGAGAGGGCGAGUGGCCACAUUGGGACUGAGACACGGCCCAAACUCCUACGGGAGGCAGCAGUAGGGAAUCUUCGGCCAUGGACGAAAGUCUGACCGAGCAACGCCGCGUGAGUGAAGAAGGUUUUCGGGUCGUAAAACUCUGUUGGUAGAGAAGAACGUUGGUGAGAGUGGAAAGCUCAUCAAGUGACGGUAACUACCCAGAAAGGGACGGCUAACUACGUG